CCUACGGGGCGCAGCAGUGGGGAAUAUUGGGCAAUGGGCGCAAGCCUGACCCAGCAACGCCGCGUGAAGGAAGAAGGCCCUCGGGUUGUAAACUUCUUUUGUCAGGGACGAAGAAAGUGACGGUACCUGACGAAUAAGCCACGGCUAACUACGUGCCAGCAGCCGCGGUAAUACGUAGGUGGCAAGCGUUAUCCGGAUUUACUGGGUGUAAAGGGCGUGUAGGCGGGACUGCAAGUCAGAUGUGAAAUUCCAGGGCUCAACCCUGGAACUGCAUUUGAAACUGUAGUUCUUGAGUGAUGGAGAGG
This 305-nucleotide ribosomal RNA is filed under the name uncultured bacterium. Its description in RNAcentral is "bacterial SSU rRNA". It matches the Rfam family "Bacterial small subunit ribosomal RNA", at positions 338 to 657 of the family's 1533-position model. The record is from RNAcentral.